Long non-coding RNA from Sitophilus oryzae (rice weevil), 258 nucleotides. RefSeq lists it as uncharacterized. The record is from RefSeq and is a predicted model, not a curated record. Lineage: Eukaryota; Metazoa; Arthropoda; Insecta; Coleoptera; Curculionidae. The transcript has 3 exons.
AACACAUAGGUGGUGAUAGCUGAGUUUUUCAAGUAAAUCCAUGACGGUAAUUUUCUAUUCCUAACUAUAAAUACAUGGAUUGAAGAUCUCUAUUUCCAAUUUCUUUGACAGAUGACAGCAAAACUAGAUAAAAGAUGUUGGAUUGUGACGAAUCUCUGAUAAAUUUAGAUCAGAUUUCAAAGGAUUUGGAAGAGAUUGAACUGAAAUAUUCGCCGAAAACUGCGAGCACGCAGUUUGAAGUGCCAGCAUGUUUGGGUG